UACGAAGGGGGCUAGCGUUGCUCGGAAUUACUGGGCGUAAAGCGCACGUAGGCGGAUUGCUAAGUCAGGGGUGAAAUCCUGGAGCUCAACUCCAGAACUGCCUUUGAUACUGGCGACCUUGAGUCCGGGAGAGGUGAGUGGAACUGCGAGUGUAGAGGUGAAAUUCGUAGAUAUUCGCAAGAACACCAGUGGCGAAGGCGGCUCACUGGCCCGGUACUGACGCUGAGGUGCGAAAGCGUGGGGAGCAAACAGG
RNAcentral lists this ribosomal RNA (253 nucleotides) under uncultured bacterium. Its description in RNAcentral is "partial 16S ribosomal RNA". It matches the Rfam family "Bacterial small subunit ribosomal RNA", at positions 524 to 776 of the family's 1533-position model. The record is from RNAcentral.